AGUGAACGCUGGCGGUAGGCCUAACACAUGCAAGUCGAACGGCAGCACAGUAAGAGCUUGCUCUUACGGGUGGCGAGUGGCGGACGGGUGAGGAAUACAUCGGAAUCUACUUUUUCGUGGGGGAUAACGUAGGGAAACUUACGCUAAUACCGCAUACGACCUACGGGUGAAAGCAGUGGAUCUUCGGACCUUGCGCGAUUGAAUGAGCCGAUGUCGGAGUAGCUAGUUGGCGGGGUAAAGGCCCACCAAGGCGACGAUCCGUAGCCGGUCUGAGAGGAGGGUAGGCCGCCAUAGAAGGUGACCACCGACCUGGGGACUGAGGGACGGAGCAGAGGGGAAUAUUAGGCAACAGGGGGAAAUAUUGUACAAUGAGCCCGCGUGGGUGACGAAGGCCUUCGGGUUGUAAAGACCUUUUGUUGGGUAAAAAAAGCAGUAGGUUAAUACCACGCUGUUGUGACGGUACCGAAAGAAUAAGCACCGGCUAACUUCGUG
RNAcentral lists this ribosomal RNA (492 nucleotides) under uncultured bacterium. Its description in RNAcentral is "partial 16S ribosomal RNA". It matches the Rfam family "Bacterial small subunit ribosomal RNA", at positions 29 to 507 of the family's 1533-position model. The record is from RNAcentral.